ACGAACGCUGGCGGCGUGCUUAACACAUGCAAGUCGAACGGUGAAGGGAUCAGCUUGCUGGUUCUGGAUGAGUGGCGAACGGGUGAGUAACACGUGAGUAACCUGCCCCCUUCUUCUGGAUAACCGCAUGAAAGUGUGGCUAAUACGGGAUAUUCUGGGUCUGUCGCAUGAUGGGUCUGGGAAAGAUAUUGUUUCGGUGGGGGAUGGGCUCGCGGCCUAUCAGCUUGUUGGUGGGGUGAUGGCCUACCAAGGCGGUGACGGGUAGCCGGCCUGAGAGGGUGGACGGUCACACUGGGACUGAGACACGGCCCAGACUCCUACGGGAGGCAGCAGUGGGGAAUAUUGCACAAUGGGCGCAAGCCUGAUGCAGCGACGCCGCGUGAGGGAUGGAGGCCUUCGGGUUGUAAACCUCUUUCGCCAGUGAAGCAGGCCUGCUCAUUGUGGGUGGGUUGACGGUAGCUGGAUAAGAAGCGCCGGCUAACUACGUG
This 488-nucleotide ribosomal RNA is filed under the name uncultured bacterium. RNAcentral describes it as "partial 16S ribosomal RNA". It matches the Rfam family "Bacterial small subunit ribosomal RNA", at positions 29 to 507 of the family's 1533-position model. The record is from RNAcentral.